GACGAACGCUGGCGGCGUGCUUAACACAUGCAAGUCGAACGGUGAAGCUCCAGCUUGCUGGAGUGGAUCAGUGGCGAACGGGUGAGUAACACGUGAGCAACCUGCCCCUGACUCUGGAAUAAGCGCUGGAAACGGCGUCUAAUACUGGAUACGAGAAGGGUCCGCAUGGGCACUUUCUGGAAAGUUUUUCGGUUGGGGAUGGGCUCGCGGCCUAUCAGCUUGUUGGUGAGGUAAUGGCUCACCAAGGCGACGACGGGUAGCCGGCCUGAGAGGGCGACCGGCCACACUGGGACUGAGACACGGCCCAGACUCCUACGGGAGGCAGCAGUGGGGAAUAUUGCACAAUGGGCGGAAGCCUGAUGCAGCGACGCCGCGUGAGGGAUGACGGCCUUCGGGUUGUAAACCUCUUUCAGCAGGGAAGAAGCGAAAGUGACGGUACCUGCAGAAGAAGCACCGGCUAACUACGUG
Molecule: ribosomal RNA, 468 nt
Filed under: uncultured bacterium
Lineage: Bacteria
Description: partial 16S ribosomal RNA
Rfam family: Bacterial small subunit ribosomal RNA
Source: RNAcentral